UCAACUUUGUUAAUUAAAUGAACAAUUUAUUUACUCAUUUCAAUUAAUAUAGUCUAAUGUUAAUGAUGUUUUUAUUUAAGGUUUCUGUAUGACAAAGUGAUGCGCCCGCGUGGAUUGGAAGAAAGAUUCGCUUUCUUAGCUCCCAACACUAUUAACGCAGGGUUAAUCAAAACAAAACCAAAUGAUGUCAUAGCGUAUGUACUCGAUUCAUCUGUGGCCAGCAAAGAUACAGAAAAGUUGUUCUUUUUACCAUAUAAUACUGGCAACGGUGGACACUGGUUAUUAGUUGCGAUUAAUCCUGUAAGAGAAAUGGAUUCGCUAGACAAUGAUUGGACAACAUACCCAAAUUUAAAGAGAAUGAUUGAUACCGUUCUACAAGUUUUUCGAUCACAAAGAGAUAUUCAAGUACCAAAGAGUAGAGCCAACAACAUUGCAUGGUUAAGAGUGUAGGUAUAUCUGUAUUUUCUUUCCUUAUGUAGUGUCCUAGUCAGCGUUACGGUAUAAAUUGUGGUUAUUUCAUCUUGAGGUUUAUGAAAGAAACUCUUCUUUUGGAUCGAAUAGAGAUUUCAUCCACGUACUUUGACGAAUUCAAGUGUGCUCAUUACUCAAAAGCUCAAUUGGAUGAACUUAUGGAGGAAUAGUGUAAUUCAUUAUGGAGUUGAGAAUUUUAUAAGGUUAUAGGUGCAGAUGUAGAAGAUAGAGCUAACAACUUUAUUGUUGUUGUUUUUUAGAAACUCUCGAAGAUAGUAAUAUGUAGAUUUAACAUCAAUUUAGCAUUUUAGAUUUUUCAAGCUAUUGUCGUAUAUAUCAUCAAUUAUUAUCAUUAAAAUCAAUUUAAUGAUAAUAUCUACACAUAUGAAUGCACAUUAUUCUACACAUACAUUUAAUUAAUAUAACACUCAACA
This is an RNA transcript of Vicia villosa (hairy vetch), 905 nucleotides long. RefSeq lists it as uncharacterized. The transcript is spliced from 5 exons. The record is from RefSeq and is a predicted model, not a curated record. Lineage: Eukaryota; Viridiplantae; Streptophyta; Magnoliopsida; Fabales; Fabaceae.